CGGGGCUUAAUGUCUUGUAAUUGGAAUGAUGGGAAUUUAAACCUCUUCCAGAGUAUCAAUUGGAGGGCAAGUCUGGUGCCAGCAGCCGCGGUAAUUCCAGCUCCAAUAGCGUAUAUUAAAAUUGUUGCAGUUAAAAAGCUCGUAGUUGAAUUUCUGCUACAUUGCCCUUUCUCCUUUACGAGUUUGGGUCUUUUGUGGCUUAUCUGGGUUCGCUUGCGUUCCCGGUGUUUUACUUUGAGAAAAUUAGAGUGCUCAAAGCAGGCUUUUGCCUUGAAUAGUUUAGCAUGGAAUAAUAAAGUAGGACUUUGGUUCUAUUUUGUUGGUUUUAGGUACCAAAGUAAUGGUUAAUAGGAACAGUUGGGGGCAUUCGUAUUUAACUGUCAGAGGUGAAAUUCUUAGAUUUGUUAAAGACGAACUACUGCGAAAGCAUUUGCCAAGGAUGUUUUCAUUAAUCAAGAAC
Molecule: ribosomal RNA, 460 nt
Filed under: Theileria velifera
Lineage: Eukaryota; Apicomplexa; Aconoidasida; Piroplasmida; Theileriidae
Also listed under: 1 other name
Description: SSU rRNA
Rfam family: Eukaryotic small subunit ribosomal RNA
Source: RNAcentral